Molecule: ribosomal RNA, 253 nt
Filed under: uncultured bacterium
Lineage: Bacteria
Description: partial 16S ribosomal RNA
Rfam family: Bacterial small subunit ribosomal RNA
Source: RNAcentral
UACGUAGGGUCCGAGCGUUGUCCGGAAUUACUGGGCGUAAAGAGCUCGUAGGUGGUUUGUCGCGUUGUCCGUGAAAACUCACAGCUCAACUGUGGGCGUGCGGGCGAUACGGGCAGACUGGAGUACUGCAGGGGAGACUGGAAUUCCUGGUGUAGCGGUGGAAUGCGCAGAUAUCAGGAGGAACACCGGUGGCGAAGGCGGGUCUCUGGGCAAUUCCUGACGCUGAGGCGCGAAAGCGUGGGGAGCAAACGGG